RNAcentral lists this ribosomal RNA (445 nucleotides) under uncultured bacterium. RNAcentral describes it as "partial 16S ribosomal RNA". It matches the Rfam family "Bacterial small subunit ribosomal RNA", at positions 354 to 796 of the family's 1533-position model. The record is from RNAcentral.
GUGAGGAAUAUUGCGCAAUGGAGGCAACUCUGACGCAGCCAUGCCGCGUGCAGGAAGAAGGCGCUACGCGUUGUAAACUGCUUUUAACCGGGAAGAAACCCCAGGACGUGUCCUGGGUUGACGGUACCGGAGGAAUAAGCACCGGCUAACUUCGUGCCAGCAGCCGCGGUAAUACGAAGGGUGCAAGCGUUAUCCGGAUUCAUUGGGUUUAAAGGGUGCGUAGGCGGAGCGUUAAGUCAGUGGUGAAAUCCUGCAGCUUAACUGUCGACUUGCCAUUGAUACUGGCGCUCUUGAGUGCACUUGAAGUGGGCGGAAUGUGCCGUGUAGCGGUGAAAUGCUUAGAUAUGGCGCAGAACACCAAUUGCGAAGGCAGCUCACUAAGGGGAUACUGACGCUGAGGCACGAAAGCGUGGGGAUCGAACAGGAUUAGAUACCCGGGUAGUCC